AACAUUGCUAAUUAUUUUAAAUGUACUGAAAGGGGAGGGAUAGGUGAGGAAAGAAGAUGCUACACACAACAGCUAACUUGCAAACAGCAUCUGUGAGGGGCCCUGACAGCAAAAUAGCGCUUAAAAGUAACUUUAGCAUGACUAGUCUCAGUUGGAUCUGUGCAUCCAGGCAAAGCUUUCUGAUUGUCAGCUGCAACACUCAAGUUGUGUUGGCUGUUUGCUGAUUACGGACUGCCCAUACCUUUUGUCUCCCACUAAUUGCUAAUCAGGGAGUGCUGUACACCUGUACAGCUAGCUGGUGCUUGGAGAGCAGCUACAUAGGUGGUAGGCAAAGUUGCUGGAGUGCAAAGGUUGUUAAGAGGCAGGCACCAGUUUUUGUAGCAGCGUACAUAAAAGAGGCGUAGAAAGACUGGGUUGGUGCUGCAUGAAACUGACUGAGGCUGUGGAACAAAGCACCCGAGUUAGUUCCUUCUUGGAAUUCUCAAGCUGAGCUCUUCAUAAACUUCAAGAGACUGUACUCCCUUUGCCUUCUCAAAGAGCAAGAAGAGUGGAGAAAUCCAAGUCAUUGAAGGGUCCAACCUGCAGAUUGUGUUACCCAAAGGGUGAGAACAGAGAUGGUUUUAAUUGCAAGAGGUUUCAGUAAUGAGUUGUUGUAGCCACAAAACGCUGCGGAGAAGGUCUGGUUUUAUAUGAAGCUCAUCUGUACUGAAAUAACAGAACCAUGACCUCAGCCUGGGUGUCUGGACACCACUGCACUACAAUUCAAUAAUGGACUCCUGCAUGUGCUUUGAACAGAAGACAGACAGGCACCAACUUUCCUGUACUUUAUAUAAGGAGUAAAAACGCAGUCUCUGUGAAUGGCUCUACUUUGGCAAGCUUCUUGUACCAAAGCGCAGGGUUUGCUCUUGCGACCAAGACUGAACGUGCCUAGAUGUCUUGCUAUAGGUUACGGGAUGUUCAUACUCAACUUGUCUGUGGGCAGCAAAGGAAUGAACUCCAUCAGGCUGUGGACAAGCAUGAGCGCAGCUCUAGCAUCCAAGUGCAGGCCGGGGCGUGAACUGUUCUCAAGUCAGACCACUUUUUGAAGUGCUUGAACAGGCUUUCCAUUGAGAUGUUCACAAAAUUAAAUCCAUCUCUACACCGAGGCCACGUGACUGACCACCACUUAAAGCCCACUUGUCUCUUAGUAAGACUAAGAGGAGUUAACUCCAACUAUCAGUGGAAAAAUGCAUCUCUUAAGAACUGAUGUUCUGGAAGGCCAAGACAGCAACUUCCCUAAGCACUUGGACUCCGGGAUGAUGGAGGAGGGCAGCAACAGAGCUACUACUGAAAUAAGUAUGCAACAGAUGAGCCAGACUGCAGGAUGCUACAACCCAGUCACCCUCAGCUGUUUGUACAGUUAGCCAGUGUUUACAACAGCCAUUUCUGCAGCACCACUACUUGUCAGACAGUACUGCGAGCCAGUUAAACAUAAAGUUGAUUACAUGUACGUAUGACACAUACACUGUUACCAAGGCACAAACUUCCUGUGUAUUUUUCUGAGCUUGAAAGAUACCUCCCCAUUUUUCACCUGCGCAUUUACAUGCACACACAGAGGUGUAGUCAGAUUGCUAUCUUCAUCUAGAUCUCUAAAAGCAGUACACAUGAAAUGCUGUAUGAGAAGUAUCUCCCUGUGGUUCAGGGAAAAAUAUGUAUGAGAAGUAUUUCCCUGUGGUUCAGGGAAAAAUAAGAUCAGAAAAAGAGGUAUUCACCCCUCAAAGUACUCUGAGAGACUUAAGUGUUUAAAGAUGCUUACUAUCGCCUUUUUACUGAGUUCCAAACAUGAGAAAAUUAAGGGAAAGUUUCCAAGAUUUUCUCGCAAUCAGGGCAUUAGAAGCCAAACUCUUAACAUGUUUGUGAGAGGGAUCUACCGAGCUUACGAAAACGUGGGCUUUCUCAAGCUAUCCCAGAACGAGAGACACUGCAGGGAACAAAACGCACCUCACAAAUCUUUCCGUCAGUUGAUGCACAAAAUCAAAUAUCUCGUGCCAGUUCUGCGCUACGCUCCCAGACCUGGAAAGAAAACCAGAAGCGUGAACCGGCUCCGACAGACCCAAACUGUUGCUCUGGGACUGCGCACGUGGUAACCACCAAACUGCACCGCUUCACAAUAGACUCUGCCGUGCUAAAUAUAGAGCAGGCAUUUGGUUUGAAGCAUAAGCUGGAUCCUUCGCAGCGAACAUGAGGCACUGUGGAAAGCGUCACUUUAUGCUGCAAGAAUAUUAUCUUUUCAGAGUUUGCCAUCUGGGGCCUCAGGUUUUCGCAGGAAGUUCAAAUAUGCUUUAUAAUCUUAAAAUAUUAUCUGAAGGCUAAAAAGAUGCGUGAGUUUUCUCUGAUGAAAAAUUCUAGCCACGAGCUGCAUAGACCAAAAUUAUCUCCCAAGUUAAAAAUAAAUGUCUAGCCUCUAGUUCUUUGUUUCCUGCAUGGAGUUUUCGCCACAAGCACUAUGUGACGAGUGAUUGACAGGAUUUCAAAUAAAGUUGGUUUUUCUUUUAUUCACCAUUUUGUUU
Molecule: non-coding RNA, 2549 nt
Organism: Anas platyrhynchos (mallard)
Lineage: Eukaryota; Metazoa; Chordata; Aves; Anseriformes; Anatidae
Source: RefSeq, a predicted model, not a curated record